GAUGAACGCUGACAGAAUGCUUAACACAUGCAAGUCUUUGGCGAAGCUGUGCUUGCACAGCCUAGCCAAGGCGGACGGGUGAGUAACGCGUAAGGAACUUGCCCUGCAGUCAGGGAUAACAGACGGAAACGACUGAUAAGACCUGGUAAAGUCAGGCGGACUCAUGUCCAGCCUGAUGAAAAGAGAAGCUGCAGGAGAGCCUUGCGUCCUAUUAGCUUGUUGGUGGGGUAACGGCCCACCAAGGCGAUGAUAGGUAGCCGGCCUGAGAGGGUGGACGGCCACAAGGGGACUGAGAUACGGCCCUUACUCCUACGGGAGGCAGCAGUGGGGAAUAUUGGACAAUGGGGGCAACCCUGAUCCAGCAAUUCUGUGUGCACGAUGAAGGUUUUCGGAUUGUAAAGUGCUUUCAGCAGGGAAGAAAAAAAUGACGGUACCUGCAGAAGAAGCGACGGCUAAAUACGUG
RNAcentral lists this ribosomal RNA (463 nucleotides) under uncultured bacterium. RNAcentral's name for it is "partial 16S ribosomal RNA". It matches the Rfam family "Bacterial small subunit ribosomal RNA", at positions 28 to 507 of the family's 1533-position model. The record is from RNAcentral.